AAACCUUCUCGGCUUUCGUCUCCUCGGCAUGGAAGUCGACUUGGAGACCAGCGAAGCCCGAAGCUCUUCGGGAGGAAGCAAUCCGUCUACAGGAAUCUUGUGAGAUCCGCGGGUAACCGUACAAGAGACAGCAGUACUACAUGAAGAAUUCCCUUACUCUCUCGUACCCAAGCGGAAGCUCUACCUCCGCGGUGAUUCUCUAAUUACUGACCUUUUGUGGACUUCUUUCUUGAUAGGUUGGGUAUAUGAGGUACAAUGUGGCUGUCCUGCCUUUCCUUAUAAGGUCGAUAUCUUGGUUCUCUUGAAUCUUUGUUUUAGGCUAUAUAUCUCAGCAUAAACGAAUUAUUUUAUGAUAUUAGUUUUUCAGUCUCAACUUAUCUUUUUGUUGCAGUUAAUACAGUUUAGGAUAUUGAAUAAGAGAGAGAAUGCAUCAUUGUCUAAACAAUUUACAAUCAUACGAAACUCAAGCGCACUGUUCUUGAUGGAUACUAUAAUGAGUUCAAUUUUAGUCGACAGCACCAUUCCUGGUGCAAGCCAUAUUGACAAAUAUAUCUUUGCUUGGAUUGAACUUCUGUUUUGCCAUUUUGUUUGAUAUUCAAUGAUCUGAAGUUCCUCUAGCAAACUCUCAUAAUUUUGUGCAGCCUGAUGAUCAUAUUUUAUCAGACGAUGAUAAUGGAGGAGCUAAACUCAUGGGAAGUGUGCUCGAUCUUUUAUAUGUCAUAACAGGUUCCACAUCAUAUAUUUGAAGGUUCUGUAUGCUUUAGGAAAAGAAAACUUAUCUUACUAGUAUGUAUGUGAACUAUGCAAUUCCAUUAUCCACAUGAUUCAUCAUUUUCUUUCCAACAGGAACUAUAGUUGCUAUUCAUGGAAAGGAAACUAGUGAUGGUGAUUUUUUCUUUAUUCAAGAUGUGCUGGAAGCUGGCCUAACCCUGCAAAAUGAAGUCACCUAGCUCAAGACCAGAAGUAUGCUCAUUGACAAGUGAGGAAGCCUAGAUGACUGCUAGAAGAGUCAAAAGUUCCUUUGGCUAUAGGAAUUCUCUACGAGCAACUGAGAACUUCACAGUCUGCACAUUAAGAUGAGCUCUAGGACUAUAUUUGAAGAUUGGCUUUAGGAAUUCUCUACGUGCAAUGGAAAACUUCAAAGUCGCACAUUGAGAUGAACUCUAGAACUAUAUUUCAAGUAUGCAACUUCACUGUUCACAUUUUAUGUUGGCUUUAGUUUUUGGUCAAAGCGAUGGUUUUUUUUUUAUGUGCUGACUAAAGCCAAUAUGUUACAACUAAAAUGGACCGACUUCAACUAGUGUAACCCCACAACUUUAAUUUGCCAAAACUAUCUGAAAAUCAUGUCAUUUUCCACUGAAAUCGAUUGAAAAGUAAUUGGAACUCAUUAAUAUCCACUCUCAAAGCCUCGAUGUAAGGUUUCAUUUUUUAGAUCUCUUCUAAUCUAUUUCUUUAAUUCUCCCUGAUUUCUUAGCUUGCCAACUCGAGGCCAUCCGGAUCUUCCCAAUAAAAAAGAGCUGAUUUAGCUUGAACCAGUCAAUGUUUAAUAGAAAAUAUUGGAUAUUCCCAAUACAGAAUUUUGUCAUAAGCUCAGUUCACAGAGAUCUCGGUAAAAUACUUACAGUGGUUGAUUCCAUGAUUUUAUGAGUCCUUACAGCAUCAGCUCUGAGUCUUGGAUAGAAACCAAGUUGGAAACCUUAAGGAGUUAACAGACACAUGUGCUUACUUCAGACUUUUAUUGUUGUGUGUCAUGGUACAUCUAGAACUCUAUCAAAAGAUAAAAAGCUAAACCAGCAUUUAGUGUGCUUUACAAUUAAGAAUUAAUUACUAAUUGCUGUGUGAAAAACCAGGCAAGAUUUCAGAUGUCCUGUUACUCAUUAUCUUCUGACUCAUCUCUUCUGUAUUCUGUCAUCACUGUGUUCUGUUAUUGUAACGUUCUCUACAUUUUACUCUCAGUUGCCAAAGGUACCGAUGGAUGCCUAAUUUUUAACUGAUUACUGAAGUGUAUCCAAGGCUGGAAUGCCUUAUGGUUAUCUGGAUAUAGCAACAGAAACUUGCUGGCAUGAUCUUGUCUUAAAGCUUGGGGUAUCUAUUGCUAUUGAUAUGAAUGUAUAUUGCUGUAUGCCUGGACAGGAGGUCAUGCAUAGUCAGGUAUUUUGAAGAAUUCAUUAGUUGGUAUACUGAUCUAUGCUCUUUUUUAGCCAUCACUUUAACUGAUGCCUCUCCCGGGAGCAUCAGCGUGUAACACAUUUCUGUUAUGCACAAAUCCUCAUCAAUUUGAGCUGGAUGAUAUUUGUCAAGCAUUAAAUAUUUCUUCUGCAAUUCUGCCCUCGUGCCGGGAACUCCAGUGAGAAGGUGAUGCACAGGUUUCUUGGAACCUCUUGCUGGAGUAUUGAUGACCUUUUCGAGUAUUCUUAGGCACGAAGCAAACUUGAUAAUAUGGAGAGGACAUCCUGGGCACCUGGCACCAAUUGCUCAAAACACAAGUAGUAUUUUACUAGUGAUUAUGUCCAC
Non-coding RNA from Musa acuminata subsp. malaccensis (wild Malaysian banana), 2514 nucleotides. Lineage: Eukaryota; Viridiplantae; Streptophyta; Magnoliopsida; Zingiberales; Musaceae. The record is from RefSeq and is a predicted model, not a curated record.